Molecule: long non-coding RNA, 412 nt
Organism: Mauremys reevesii (Reeves's turtle)
Lineage: Eukaryota; Metazoa; Chordata; Testudines; Geoemydidae
Exons: 4
Source: RefSeq, a predicted model, not a curated record
GCAGGGAGCCUGCCUUUGCCCCGCUGUGCCACUGACUGGGAGCCGGCUGAGAGGUGCCAGGUUACUGCUGCUGUGAUUGGGAUGUGAAUCUUUCCAAUUUCUGUUUAGGGAACAGCCUUCGAUCUAUGGGCAAGACUUGGGUAACCAGAUGCAGCUAUCUAAGGGGACAGUGAUGAUGAUAAUGAUGACUCAAUAGUGCUAAUCCAAACUCCAUUAGAGAUCGUUCUCUGUUGUCAUCUUGUACUCUUGACACCUCACAGCACAUGAGGUAAUAAAAUAUAUCAGGCAGCCAGAACACCAGGACUUGAGACUACUGAAAUGUUUGCACAAUCUUGAAGCAUUUAUUUAAAAGUUGCUUUUCCCUGAAGGGUAGCGCUACAGCCAGAUUCAAAGUCAGAUCAAAAAAACAAAC